This 253-nucleotide ribosomal RNA is filed under the name uncultured prokaryote. RNAcentral's name for it is "partial 16S ribosomal RNA". It matches the Rfam family "Bacterial small subunit ribosomal RNA", at positions 524 to 776 of the family's 1533-position model. The record is from RNAcentral.
UACGUAGGAGGCGAGCGUUGUCCGGAAUUACUGGGUGUAAAGCGCGCGUAGGCGGCAGGCCAAGUCUGUGGUGAAAUCGCUCGGCUCAACUGGGCGGGGUCCAUGGAAACUGGUCAGCUGGAGGACGGUAGAGGGGCAUGGAAUUCCCGGUGUAGUGGUGAAAUGCGUAGAGAUCGGGAGGAACACCCGUGGCGAAGGCGGUGCCCUGGGCCGGUCCUGACGCUGAGGCGCGAAGGCGUGGGGAGCGAACGGG